Molecule: ribosomal RNA, 271 nt
Filed under: Streptomyces sp. SID7982
Lineage: Bacteria; Bacillati; Actinomycetota; Actinomycetes; Kitasatosporales; Streptomycetaceae
Description: partial 23S ribosomal RNA
Rfam family: Bacterial large subunit ribosomal RNA
Source: RNAcentral
AUUGAGAAGGGCUGUCCCUAGUACGAGAGGACCGGGACGGACGAACCUCUGGUGUGCCAGUUGUUCUGCCAAGGGCAUGGCUGGUUGGCUACGUUCGGGAGGGAUAACCGCUGAAAGCAUCUAAGCGGGAAGCCUGCUUCGAGAUGAGUGUUCCCACCUCCUUGAGAGGGUAAGGCUCCCAGUAGACGACUGGGUUGAUAGGCCGGAUAUGGAAGCCCUGUAAGGGGUGGAGUUGACCGGUACUAAUAGGCCGAGGGCUUGUCCUCAGUUG